This is a long non-coding RNA of Panthera uncia (snow leopard), 892 nucleotides long. RefSeq lists it as uncharacterized. The record is from RefSeq and is a predicted model, not a curated record. Lineage: Eukaryota; Metazoa; Chordata; Mammalia; Carnivora; Felidae. The transcript has 4 exons.
CAAAAUACCACCAGGGAUCACCUCGACCCAGAUAAGGGCCUGAAGGAGGAGAGACGAGAAAGAUAUGGGCAGGAAAGGCUAAAGUCACAGGGCGAUGCUGCUCCUCACUGCUCACCUUCAACACAAGGGACAUCUUCUUUCUCCUGUGGUAAAGGAAACUGGUUGAAGAGAGGCAGCUCACAAUCAAGGAGUAGACAGAGAGGGACACUGAUAAAUUCUACCAAAGUUCAGACCAGCAGUCUCAAGAUGAAUACUCAGUUCUAUCCACAGAAAUCCCAUUUUGAACCCAAGCUAAAAAAUCUCUUCAAUCAUCAACUCAAAAUGAAAUCACUCCUCAUUCCAGGAAUACCAUACAUAACAAUUCAAGGUGCCUUACUUAGUCCAGGUAAGCUCUCUUCCCUUCCUAGUUCUAGUACACUACUCCCAAUUACCACUGGACUUUUCUAUAUGAAGCUACAAAUACUCUGACAGUGGAUCUAGGGCAGAUUUUCAUGAGCUUUUUGAAGAGGAGGGAAAGCUUUUAACUGGAUUUUAGAAAAAGGGUCAACAAAGUAAAAGAUGGGCGAGUGGGAUACCUCUGACACUAGGCAGCCUUAUAUGAGACAUAUCCAAAAUACGAAAUCUGGGGCACCUGGGUAGCUCAGCUGGUUAGGCAUCUCACUUUGACUCAGGUCAUGAUCUCACGGUUCAUGAGUUCGAGCCCUGCUUCGGGCUCUGUGCUGACAGCUCAGUGCCUGGAGCCUACUUCGGAUUCUGUGCCCCCCACCCUUGCCCCUCCCCUGCUUGUGUUCUCUCUCUCUCAAAAAAAACCCCAAAAAACCAAACAUGUAAAAAAAUAUAUAAUUCAAAAUGGGAAAUCUGAGUUUAUUUAAGACAGUGCUCGAAUAACUGA